CAUGGGCACAAGCAACUUCUAGAAAAAUGACUCUUAAAGUUUUAUAUAUUUAUUUAUUUACUUAUUCAUUUACAUGGGCUCUGUCUGUCACCCAGGCUGGAGUGUGAUGGCCCACACAUGGCUCACUGCGAUCUUGACCUCCCAGGCUCAAGCAAUCCUCUCAUCUCAGCUUCUUGAGUAGCUGGGACUACAGACAUGCAUCACCAUACCUGGCCAACUCUCUUUUAAAAUCUUUUUGUACAGAUAGGAUCUUGAUCUUCAAUCGAUUGGAUGAGGCCCACCCACAUUGCAGAGAUCAAUCUGCUUUACUCAGUCUACCAAUCCAAAUGUGACUCUCAUCCAGAAACACCCUCACAGACAUAUUCAGAACAAUGUGCAACCAAAUAUCUAGGCACCCUGUGGCCCAUCAGAUUGACACAUAAAGCUAACCAUCACAGACGGAAAUCCAUGUUUCUGAGGGAACCCAUUCCAGGGAAGAAGACGUCCGCAGAGGGCAUCAGGACCUAUUCUUCUCAUGGCUUUAUUAGAUUGGCCUGAACUAUCAGCAACUGUGGUGGCUUGCUGCUAUUAUCAUCCUUCCUGCUUCUCACUGCUACCCAGGAGAGUCCAGUCCACCAAAAAUGGUUACAAUCAGAUCCCUUGGCAUAAGGAAAGCAAGCUUCCCUGUUGUGAGCAGCCAUAUAGAGAGACCCACAUGACAAGGAGCUGGUAUCUCAAGCCAGCAGACAGCAAGGGGCUGAGGCCUGCUGACAGUCACGUGGGUGAGUAUGGAAGUAGACCCUUCUCCAGCCGGGCUUUCAGAUGACUGCAGCCUCAGCCGACAUCUUGGUUGCAGCUUCAGGAGAUACCCUGAGUUGGAAGCCUCCAGCUAAGCCUUAAAUGGAUUCAUGACUCACAGAAACUGUGAAAUAAUAAAUGUUUUUAGCCACUAAAGUAUGGGAUAGUUAUGCAACAAUAAAUAACUGAUACAUAUAGAAAGAAGGGGAGAUCAACAGAGGUACAUGAAAGAGAAAGAAAAUACUUCAAUGAAGACUUCCAACUUGCAGUCAAUUAUUAAACAGCACAUCACUAAACCUGCAGAACUGUGCUUCUGAAAGUCACACUCAUCACUUGAUAUGUUUGUUUAAACUCUCUGUAAGAUGUAAGGGACUUAGUAGUCCUAAAAACAUUUUUCUACAUUGUCUCACUUUACUGACAUUCUCUGUUUAGGGAGACAUUGUUCUUACACAAUAGUCUUUAUUUCUUUAGACAAUUUCCUUGGUUCUUUGAACAUGUUUAAAACAAUUGAUUUGAAGGCUUGGUCUAGUAAGUUCAAAAUCUGGGGUCCUGCAGAGAUAGCUUCUAUGACUACUUUCUUCUCUGCGUAUAGGCCAUACUUUUUUGUUUCUUUGCACAUCCUGGAUUUUUGUUGUUGUUGUUGUUGAAACUAGGCAUUUUAGAUAAUAUGAUGUGGCAACUCUGGAAAUCACAUUCUCCCCCAUCCGUUUGGCUUCACAUUGUUGUCU
This 1505-nucleotide long non-coding RNA is filed under the name Callithrix jacchus (white-tufted-ear marmoset). RNAcentral describes it as "lncRNA (ENSCJAG00000070101.1)". Lineage: Eukaryota; Metazoa; Chordata; Mammalia; Primates; Cebidae. The record is from RNAcentral.